Non-coding RNA from Podarcis lilfordi (Lilford's wall lizard), 80 nucleotides. The record is from the annotation of a GenBank genome assembly. NCBI's taxonomy places the organism in Eukaryota, Metazoa, Chordata, Lepidosauria, Squamata, Lacertidae.
GCCCAGAUAGCUCAGUUGGUUAGAGCAUGGUGCUGAUAAUGCCAAGGAUGCCGGUUUGAUCCCCUUAGAAGACGGCUGCA